This 58-nucleotide ribosomal RNA is filed under the name uncultured bacterium. RNAcentral's name for it is "partial 16S ribosomal RNA". The record is from RNAcentral.
CUAACCCCGCGAACGGGACGGUCGGAGGUCCUUAAGGAGUGGAUUGGUAACUGGGGUG